CCCUUAGAUGUUCUGGGCCGCACGCGCGCUACACUGAUGCAUGCAACGAGUUCUAUCCUUGGCCGGAAGGCCUGGGUAAUCUGUGAACGUGCAUCGUGAUAGGGAUAGAUUAUUGCAAUUAUUAAUCUUGAACGAGGAAUUCCUAGUAAACGCAAGUCACCAGCUUGCAUUGAUUACGUCCCUGCCCUUUGUACACACCGCCCGUCGCACCUACCGAUCGAAGGUAAUGAUGAGCCCUCAGGAUUGUGGCCUCGUCGCGUCAGCGUCUUGGCUGCGAGAAUCUGUGCAAAUCCCUACCUUUAGAGGAAGGUGAAGUCGUAACA
RNAcentral lists this ribosomal RNA (323 nucleotides) under uncultured eukaryote. Its description in RNAcentral is "partial 18S ribosomal RNA". It matches the Rfam family "Eukaryotic small subunit ribosomal RNA", at positions 1470 to 1796 of the family's 1831-position model. The record is from RNAcentral.